Molecule: long non-coding RNA, 663 nt
Filed under: Rosa chinensis
Lineage: Eukaryota; Viridiplantae; Streptophyta; Magnoliopsida; Rosales; Rosaceae
Description: sRNA RchiOBHm_Chr5g0009151
Source: RNAcentral
CUACCUCUCUCUCUCUCUCUCUCUCUUCCCUAACGCCAAUGUGAACCUCUUGAUUUCUCUCUAACCUCACAUUCCGCAAUGUUGAUUCUACCCUCGCGCUUCCUCACCUUCCACCACCGACCAACCCUCGCAUUCUCACCCUUCCCGCCAUCAUCACCGCCGUCGCCGUCGCCGUCGUCCAUCUUCUACGCGCCGACGAACAAUGUCUCCAGACCUCUACGCGCCGAACAAUGUCUCCAACCGCUCUCCGCCGCGUCAUCCUCCUCCUCCUCCUCGGUCACGGUGGAAAACUCCGAGGAAUACUACUCCGAAUCCGACGGAGCCGCCGCGUCCGCCACCACGCAGUUCGUGAUCCGCGCCCGCAACCGCAUCGGCCUCCUUGGGAUCAUCACGCGCGUGUUCGACGUCCUCGGCCUCCGCGUCGACAGGGCCACCGUGGAAUUCGAAGGCGACUACUUCGUGAAGCGGUUCUUCGUCACCGAUUCCCGAGGCGCGAGGAUCGAGGACCUGGAGAGCCUGGACCGGAUCCAGAAGGCGUUACUGGACGCCAUCGACGACUGCGGCGGGUCCAUCACCGCGGGGCCUACCACCACCACGAGAGGCGUCGUGGUCCGCAGGCCGGGUUUGGGCCUGGGCUCCGGCGAGCGCGGCGCUAAGGCGGAG